GUUAUAUUAAAAAAAUCUUUUAUGCAAGACAAACUUGAGACAAAGUUUUGUGUGGAUUACCUCGAGAGGUCAAUAGAAUUAUGUUAAACAAAUUUAACUCCAAGUCAUAUGAAGGAAAGUAAAUGUCCACAUAGAAAGCCAACCACUGUGUCUCUUAUUUGAUAGGCUAAGACCCUGAUGGAGUACAUAAUAGGGCAGCAGCAUUCUUGGAGCAGUGGGAGAGGAAGGAGCAUAAACGAGCAAUGGGGUGACAGAGCUUCGGCCAGAGCCUCACUAGGGUGUGGUUCAGUGGUUGGAGUACACGAGUUUUACUUUUUAUUGCUAUCCUUUAGUUUCCCUUUGUUAUCAAGUAGUAGUAGGGUGUUUUUGUUAAUUAUUGAUGUAGGGUUAUAUUUUGAUACACCAAUUUAAAUUUCGUUUCUUGAAAAGUCCAGUUUUUG
Molecule: long non-coding RNA, 440 nt
Filed under: Olea europaea (common olive)
Lineage: Eukaryota; Viridiplantae; Streptophyta; Magnoliopsida; Lamiales; Oleaceae
Description: long non-coding RNA (OEUR_LNC012618)
Source: RNAcentral